GCCUUAGAAUCCAUACCUUUGCCGAAGUUGAUGACUAGAUCUAGUCACUCCGAUGAUCCCAGAUAAUCCAAGUCGACACUAUGCCUUGCAGCUCCUCCACUAUACAAACCAUAAAAAGAUUAAAAGAAGAACCCAAUAAGGCCUAUACCCACAUUCGGCCACCUCUCUAACCUAUAGGGGUUUCGGAUUUUCUUAACCUCCAUAAUACCGAAUUGAUUAAGGCCAUGAGCAUUUACCAAGGUUCACCUACCCAAAUGAUUCCAAUCCGUGCUAACUCUG
RNAcentral lists this long non-coding RNA (279 nucleotides) under Gossypium barbadense (sea-island cotton). Its description in RNAcentral is "long non-coding RNA (GBAR_LNC005599)". The record is from RNAcentral. Lineage: Eukaryota; Viridiplantae; Streptophyta; Magnoliopsida; Malvales; Malvaceae.